RNAcentral lists this ribosomal RNA (690 nucleotides) under uncultured bacterium. RNAcentral's name for it is "bacterial SSU rRNA". It matches the Rfam family "Bacterial small subunit ribosomal RNA", at positions 105 to 794 of the family's 1533-position model. The record is from RNAcentral.
GGUGAGUAACGCGUAUGCAACCUGUCCGUUACAGGGGGAUAGCCCAUGGAAACGUGGAUUAACACUCCAUAAUAUAAUAUAGAGGCAUCUUUGUAUUAUUAAAUAUUCAUAGGUAACGGUUGGGCAUGCGUCCUAUUAGAUAGUUGGGGGGGUAACGGCCCACCAAGUCGAUGAUAGGUAGGGGUUCUGAGAGGAAGGUCCCCCACACUGGUACUGAGACACGGACCAGACUCCUACGGGAGGCAGCAGUGAGGAAUAUUGGUCAAUGGGCGAGAGCCUGAACCAGCCAAGUCGCGUGAGGGAUGACUGCCCUAUGGGUUGUAAACCUCUUUUGUAUGGGGGGAAUAAGCUUUACGAGUAGAGUGAUGACAGUACCAUACGAAUAAGCAUCGGCUAACUCCGUGCCAGCAGCCGCGGUAAUACGGAGGAUGCGAGCGUUAUCCGGAUUUAUUGGGUUUAAAGGGUGCGUAGGCGGCAUUAUAAGUUAGUGGUAAAAUAUUGGGGCUUCACCUCACUACGCCAUUAAUACUGUAGAGCUAGAGAACAGACGAGGUAGGCGGAAUAAGUUAAGUAGCGGUGAAAUGCAUAGAUAUAACUUAGAACACCGAUAGCGAAGGCAGCUUACCAGACUGAGUCUGACGCUGAUGCACGAGAGCAUGGGUAGCGAACAGGAUUAGAUACCCUGGUAGU